Paramuricea clavata is the source of this 89-nucleotide non-coding RNA. Lineage: Eukaryota; Metazoa; Cnidaria; Anthozoa; Malacalcyonacea; Plexauridae. The record is from the annotation of a GenBank genome assembly.
GUGUAAUCGUUAUUUAAUAAAUUUUGAAUUUUUUGUUGGAUGUCUGGUGACCAACAAAAAAUUCAAAAUUCAUUAAAUAACGAUUACAC